This 403-nucleotide ribosomal RNA is filed under the name Fusobacteriota bacterium. RNAcentral describes it as "Fusobacteria bacterium partial 16S ribosomal RNA". It matches the Rfam family "Bacterial small subunit ribosomal RNA", at positions 355 to 776 of the family's 1533-position model. The record is from RNAcentral. Lineage: Bacteria; Fusobacteriati; Fusobacteriota.
UGGGGAAUAUUGCACAAUGGAGGGAACUCUGAUGCAGCGACGCCGCGUGAGUGAUGAAGGAAUUCGUUUCGUAAAACUCUGUUCUAUGGGAAGAAAAGGACUGUACCAUAGGAGAAAGCUCCGGCUAAAUACGUGCCAGCAGCCGCGGUAAUACGUAUGGAGCGAGCGUUGUCCGGAAUUAUUGGGCGUAAAGGGUGCGCAGGCGGCUUUACAAGUUGGAUGUGAAAUAUUGUGGCUCAACCACAAACGUGCAUCCAAAACUGCAAAGCUUGAGUUAAGGAGAGGUAAGUGGAAUUCCUGGUGUAGCGGUGGAAUGCGUAGAAAUCAGGAGGAAUACCGGUGGCGAAGGCGACUUACUGGACUUAAACUGACGCUCAGGCACGAAAGCGUGGGAGCAAACAGG